GCUCAGAACGAACGCUGGCGGCAGGCUUAACACAUGCAAGUCGAGCGCCCCGCAAGGGGAGCGGCAGACGGGUGAGUAACGCGUGGGAAUCUACCCAUCUCUACGGAAUAACUCAGGGAAACUUGUGCUAAUACCGUAUACGCCCUUUUGGGGAAAGAUUUAUCGGAGAUGGAUGAGCCCGCGUUGGAUUAGCUAGUUGGUGGGGUAAAGGCCUACCAAGGCGACGAUCCAUAGCUGGUCUGAGAGGAUGAUCAGCCACAUUGGGACUGAGACACGGCCCAAACUCCUACGGGAGGCAGCAGUGGGGAAUAUUGGACAAUGGGCGCAAGCCUGAUCCAGCCAUGCCGCGUGAGUGAUGAAGGCCUUAGGGUUGUAAAGCUCUUUCACCGGAGAAGAUAAU
Molecule: ribosomal RNA, 400 nt
Filed under: Rhizobium sp. R-45819=1932
Lineage: Bacteria; Pseudomonadati; Pseudomonadota; Alphaproteobacteria; Hyphomicrobiales; Rhizobiaceae
Description: bacterial SSU rRNA
Rfam family: Bacterial small subunit ribosomal RNA
Source: RNAcentral